UUCGUUCAACUUAUCACACUUUCCUUGGCCCAUAAUGUUCGUUUGGUAAGCGUAAAAAUGAUCUCUGUCAAUAUUUAUUGAUAAUAAAUAGAACUAUAUAUAAAUUAAAUAAUAUUUUCAUGGGAUUUAUGUUCUUCUUUCUAUAGUUGCUUCCUAGAUGUUUUGUGCGUUGCUUGGGACGUGAGCUCAGUGAUACAGUA
This 200-nucleotide long non-coding RNA is filed under the name Olea europaea (common olive). Its description in RNAcentral is "long non-coding RNA (OEUR_LNC001829)". Lineage: Eukaryota; Viridiplantae; Streptophyta; Magnoliopsida; Lamiales; Oleaceae. The record is from RNAcentral.